ACGGCCCUGCAGGAGGAGGAGGAGCUGCAGCUGGCCCUGGCGCUGUCACAGUCAGAGGCGGAGGAGAAGGAGAGGCUGAGACAGAAGUCCACGUACACUUCGUACCCCAAGGCGGAGCCCACGCCCUCGGCCUCCUCAGCGCCCCCCGCCAGCAGCCUAUACUCUUCACCUGUGAACUCGUCGGCGCCUCUGGCUGAGGACAUCGACCCUGAGGUAAGGCCCGGCAUGGGGUGCAUCCUCUCACGGUUUCUGGCCUUGGGAGUGACCCCCUCAUUGCCUGCAGCUCGCACGGUAUCUCAACCGGAACUACUGGGAGAAGAAGCAGGAGGAGGCUCGCAAGAGCCCCACACCAUCUGCGCCCGUGCCCCUGACGGAGCCGGCUGCACAGCCUGGGGAGGGGCACGCAGCCCCCACCAAUGUGGUGGAGAACCCCCUCCCGGAGACAGACUCUCAGCCCAUUCCUCCCUCUGGUGGCCCCUUUAGUGAGCCACAGUUCCACAAUGGCGAGUCUGAGGAGAGCCACGAGCAGUUCCUGAAGGCGCUGCAGAACGCCGUCACCACCUUCGUGAACCGCAUGAAGAGUAACCACAUGCGGGGCCGCAGCAUCACCAAUGACUCGGCCGUGCUCUCAC
Molecule: small RNA, 632 nt
Filed under: Pan troglodytes (chimpanzee)
Lineage: Eukaryota; Metazoa; Chordata; Mammalia; Primates; Hominidae
Description: retained intron
Source: RNAcentral